This is a long non-coding RNA of Mauremys mutica (yellowpond turtle), 751 nucleotides long. RefSeq lists it as uncharacterized. NCBI's taxonomy places the organism in Eukaryota, Metazoa, Chordata, Testudines, Geoemydidae. The transcript has 4 exons. The record is from RefSeq and is a predicted model, not a curated record.
GUUGGUUUCAAUAGGGUAUAAGUGAGUGAAGAAGUCUACCCUGUAUGUUCUGAGCUUCAGGUUGAAAUGCUUAACUCAGCUUAUUUCAAGGGCUUGAUUAUGCAAAGUACUGAGCAUCAUUGACUUCCAUGACAGCAUCUUUUUACAAGUCCCAUUGAGAACUCCUGGCCAGAUGUCACAGGCUGUGAUAAGAGGCAUUGUGAGAAUAAUUUUCAGACUAACAUCUGAAGAAACUGGGACGAUUAGGGCAAGAUGAGGAGGAGGAGGAGAAACCCACUUGCAAACCAGCACAAGGAGGAAGAAGUGAAAAGUAUAGAUAUGAAGACACUCUGCUGUUGGAAAGGUCUCAAAUAGAAUGGUACACUGAUGGUGAAUCCUGAAAAUGUGAUCCCAUAUUUGCAUUUCACCUCCACACCUAGCACAGAAUGAUUCCAGAAUUCAAUAAAGUCCACAGCAAAGUUGUAGUACCUCAAACUUGACUAUAAAGGAGGCUUUUUAUGUGCAAUUUCACAAUCACUCAAUAGAUUCUGGUGGUACUCUGGGUGCACACUCCUGGACCAUGCCUUUCUGGCCCAAUUUUCAAAGUUGCUGAGCACCUGCAAGCACAAUUGAAGUUCACAAGAACCAGGAGAGAAGGUCACAAACACAUUGUUUAUUACUAGAUCUGCAGUGAAGAUGAUGCCAAACAGUUGGAUUCAUGGAGCCAAAUUCUGCUCUCGGCUACACUUGCAUAACUCUUUUUGAAUAUUGG